AUUGAACGCUGGCGGCAGGCCUAACACAUGCAAGUCGAACGAGUGGCGGACGGGUGAGUAAUGUCUGGGAAACUGCCCGAUGGAGGGGGAUAACUACUGGAAACGGUAGCUAAUACCGCAUACCAUCGGAUGUGCCCAGAUGGGAUUAGCUAGUAGGUGGGGACACGGCUCACCUAGGCGACGAUCCCUAGCUGGUCUGAGAGGAUGACCAGCCACACUGGAAAUUGGACACGGCCGUGACUCCGGCGGGAGGCAGCAGGGGGGAAUUUUGGACAAUGGGGGAAGCCGUGAUCCAGCCAUACCGCGUGUGCGAUGAAGGCCUUCGGGUUGUAAAGCACUUUUGGCAGGGAAGCGGUACCUGCAGAAUAAGCACCGGCUAACUACGUGCCAGCAGCCGCGGUAAUUC
RNAcentral lists this ribosomal RNA (406 nucleotides) under uncultured bacterium. Its description in RNAcentral is "partial 16S ribosomal RNA". It matches the Rfam family "Bacterial small subunit ribosomal RNA", at positions 30 to 526 of the family's 1533-position model. The record is from RNAcentral.